RNAcentral lists this ribosomal RNA (234 nucleotides) under uncultured bacterium. RNAcentral describes it as "partial 16S ribosomal RNA". It matches the Rfam family "Bacterial small subunit ribosomal RNA", at positions 118 to 350 of the family's 1533-position model. The record is from RNAcentral.
UGAGUAACCUGCCCUUCACUCUGGGAUAACUCCGGGAAACCGGGGCUAAUACUGGAUAUGACUCGAACAGGCAUCUGUUUCGGGUGGAAAGAUUUAUUGGUGGAGGGAUGGACUCGCGGCCUAUCAGCUUGUUGGUGAGGUAACGGCUCACCAAGGCUUCGACGGGUAGCCGGCCUGAGAGGGCGACCGGCCACACUGGGACUGAGAUACGGCCCAGACUCCGUACGGGAGGCA